Molecule: ribosomal RNA, 492 nt
Filed under: uncultured bacterium
Lineage: Bacteria
Description: partial 16S ribosomal RNA
Rfam family: Bacterial small subunit ribosomal RNA
Source: RNAcentral
AGUGAACGCUGGCGGUAGGCCUAACACAUGCAAGUCGAACGGCAGCACAGUAAGAGCUUGCUCUUACGGGUGGCGAGUGGCGGACGGGUGAGGAAUACAUCGGAAUCUACUUUUUCGUGGGGGAUAACGUAGGGAAACUUACGCUAAUACCGCAUACGACCUACGGGUGAAAGCAGGGGAUCUUCGGACCUUGCGCGAUUGAAUGAGCCGAUGUCGGAUUAGCUAGUUGGCGGGGUAAAGGCCCACCAAGGCGACGAUCCGUAGCUGGUCUGAGAGGAUGAUCAGCCACACUGGAACGGAGCCACGGUCCAGAGUCCUACGGGAGGCAGCAGUGGGGAAUAUUGGACAAUGGGCGCAAGCCUGAUCCAGCCAGACCGCGUGGGUGAAGAAGGCCUUCGGGUUGUAAAGCCCUUUUGUUGGGAAAGAAAAGCAGCAGGUUAAUACCCCGCUGUUCUGACGGUACCCAAAGAAUAAGCACCGGCUAACUUCGUG